This 437-nucleotide ribosomal RNA is filed under the name uncultured organism. Its description in RNAcentral is "bacterial SSU rRNA". It matches the Rfam family "Bacterial small subunit ribosomal RNA", at positions 346 to 773 of the family's 1533-position model. The record is from RNAcentral.
GUGCACCAGUCGAGAAUUUUUCUCAAUGGGGGAAACCCUGAGGGAGCGACGCCGCGUGGAGGAUGAAGGUCUUCGGGUUGUAAACUCCUGUCAUUUGAGAACAAGUGGCCGAACGUAACUGCUUCGGCCUUGAUAGUAUCAGAAGAGGAAGGGACGGCUAACUCUGUGCCAGCAGCCGCGGUAAUACAGAGGUCUCAAGCGUUGUUCGGAUUCAUUGGGCGUAAAGGGUGCGUAGGUGGCACCGUAAGUCGGGUGUGAAAUUUCGGAGCUUAACUCCGAAACUGCAUUCGAUACUGCGGUGCUUGAGGACUGGAGAGGAGACUGGAAUUUACGGUGUAGCAGUGAAAUGCGUAGAGAUCGUAAGGAAGACCAGUGGCGAAGGCGGGUCUCUGGACAGUUCCUGACACUGAUGCAUGAAGGCCGAGGGGAGACGAAAC